GGGGGAAUUUUGGACAAUGGGCGAAAGCCUGAUCCAGCAAUGCCGCGUGUGUGAAGAAGGCCUUCGGGUUGUAAAGCACUUUUGUCCGGAAAGAAAUGGCUCUGGUGAAUACCUGGGGUCGAUGACGGUACCGGAAGAAUAAGGACCGGCUAACUACGUGCCAGCAGCCGCGGUAAUACGUAGGGUCCAAGCGUUAAUCGGAAUUACUGGGCGUAAAGCGUGCGCAGGCGGUUGUGCAAGACCGAUGUGAAAUCCCCGAGCUUAACUUGGGAAUUGCAUUGGUGACUGCACGGCUAGAGUGUGUCAGAGGGGGGUAGAAUUCCACGUGUAGCAGUGAAAUGCGUAGAGAUGUGGAGGAAUACCGAUGGCGAAGGCAGCCCCCUGGGAUAACACUGACGCUCAUGCACGAAAGCGUGGGGAGCAAACAGG
Molecule: ribosomal RNA, 429 nt
Filed under: Bacillota bacterium
Lineage: Bacteria; Bacillati; Bacillota
Description: Firmicutes bacterium partial 16S ribosomal RNA
Rfam family: Bacterial small subunit ribosomal RNA
Source: RNAcentral